Molecule: long non-coding RNA, 3738 nt
Filed under: Olea europaea subsp. europaea
Lineage: Eukaryota; Viridiplantae; Streptophyta; Magnoliopsida; Lamiales; Oleaceae
Rfam family: MIR390 microRNA precursor family (bases 1327-1457)
Source: RNAcentral
UUACAUCUACUUACCUCUCUCUAUUGUUUCAUUUGUGAAGACGAAGAAAGAGACUACAAUCCGUAUCAACAUUGAAACCUCUGCUUUUUCUUUCUACACAAAAAAUGACUUGCCUAAUAUUUUUACUCGUUGAAGAAAUACUGGUAUAAUUUAUUAUAUGUGCGAAAUACUCUAUGCCCCUAAUGUUAAUUUUUUUUCUCAGGGGCUACCGCCCUCAACUCUCCAUCUACCGUAAGCAAAGGUGGAUUUGAUAUCGAAGGAAAAUUCGUUCUACAUGUACAAAUUACUCACCAAACCCCACUCCUCAAAUUUUGUUAGAAUAUGAUCCAAAUUCCUAUUUGGAUUAGGUUUGGGUUGUUUGAUUGAUAAAAGAGACGUAAACAAUUUUGAUUUGAAAGUCCGAUUUGAAAAUGGAUCAAAUUUCAUCAAAGAUUGAGAGUUUGAUUGGAAGAAGAACUUUGAAAUGAUGAAAAACAUCUUUGGAAGGUUUGGAGCCGAGACCGGGCGCCUAUGCACCAUGUCGCGGCCAAGGGCGCCCAAGGAAGCAAAAAUCAGCAUGGAGCAGGGCUCGAGGUGCAGCAGCGGCUCCUUGCUACUACCCUUAUCUCCCUUUCUACCCUAAUGCAGAGGUCGAUCAACAGUCACGGAAGAAUUCUAAUAUGUGUACGAAUAAGUCACUGUACUCCUACAACACAUUUUUUCCCCCUCAUGGGCUACCGAUCUCAACUCCCCAUCUACCUUAAUCUUGAGGUCGAUCUGCAAUCAAGGGAAAAUGUGAAUAAUAUAAUUAGAGACAACUCCAAGAAUCUGACGACCUCCAAGCUACACAUAUAUUUUGUACAUAUAAAAUAAUUCUUGGAGGGAAAGUGGCAUUUCCAUUCAACAUUACUGUUCCAUAGGUUGUUAAAGUGCUGUAUUUUCAACAAAGAAUUUUGGGAUGUGAAAGGGAUACGAUUUUAUGCUCAUAAUUAAGCCGAAGAUUGGUGCAUGAGUGAUGAUUAAGCAAAAGAAUUAGAAAAACUUAAACCAAUAAAUAUGUCAGUUUCGAAGGGAGGAAGAAAGGGCACGUAGUCGGCAGAGGGCAUUAUGAGUUAAUUAAUACGUAUUUUUCAAAAAACAUGUUAGAAAAAUUUAGUCAAAGUUUUUUUAUUUUGUAGGAAAAAAAAACUUGAAGUCAAAUUUGAUGACGUCUGGUGUGCUAUUCCCCAUGUUAGCUUGGUGCUAUAAAUACCCCACUCCUUCCGUUCAUUUCUCAUUCUGUAUUCUCAAAUUCAUACAUAUAUCUUAUAUGUGCGUUUGGGGGGUGUAGGAAGGUUGUGAAAAGUACGGUAGAAUCCGUAAAGCUCAGGAGGGAUAGCGCCAUUGAUCAUCUUGAUUGUAAUUCUCCACCACUGUGGUAAUUACUGGUUGUGGAGGAUCUAUGGCGCUAUCCAUCCUGAGUUUCAUGGUUUCUAUAGUAUUGUCAGAGGCGGAGCUAUAAGGGGUGGGUGGCCAUCGCAACUGUAACAUUUUAUAGAAAUUUUGAAUUUUUUAUAUGCAAUAAUAUAUGUAUGUUUUACUCUCUCAUUAUUUUUGACUUCCCUACUUGAAAAUCUUGGGUAUGCCGGUACUCUAUCUAUGCACAUAUAUAUUUGCUUUAAUUAUGGGUCUCAUUGAAAGAGGUAAAAUGAUUAAUGACAGAGGUGGGUAUAUAGAUGUCUGCAUAAUGUAUAUUUACGUUUUUGAAGUUUCAAAUGAACAGGGAGAACCUGCUAAAUUUUAUUCAACGAGCAUUGGGUAAUCAUUAAUAUUGUAUGUUAAAUAAAUUUUGGUGUACAAGAGGGUCGAGAGAUAAUGGAUCAUAAAGGAUGAGUUGGUGGAGCGUCACCAUUCCUCCCUCUUGUCCCCCAACCCCACCACCUCAAUUAAAUGGCUAGUAUUUCUUGAAAGACCAAUAAUUAAUUAGGUUGGUCAAGAGGAAACAACGAACAUGAAAUGCUCAAAACAAUACGAUACUACAAUAUAGUUUUGUCCAAUUUAAUAAAUAAGAUUUUAACUUCUGCAUAAUAAUAUUCGCACUUCAUUAAAGCUUAGUCGAUAUGUCAACAGUAUAUUAUAAAGGUGUUUGGUGGAGGUUUCAGCCCUCCUCAUCUUAACCCCCCAUGCCAUCCCAUCCCACCCCAAUUCAAUGGCUAUUUUCCCUUGAUAGAACAAGAACUUACUCGGUUCAGUUAACGAAGACCAAGAAAUGCUAUAAACAAAUAUAACAUCGUAACGACAUGCUUCAUGCAAUCUUCAACUCGAUUAUCUCCGAUGAAUACUAGAUUUAAAAUACAUACACAUGCAGAGAGCCUUCAGGAUGCACUACUGAACAAAAAAUGAACAGUAUACAUAACAAAAUUUGAAUGUUCAAUCCUAGAUACCCAAUAGCUAAAAUUUGGUUUUUGGCAGCUUUUGGAAAUCUGCAUUAUUUGAAAAGAAGAGUGCCUCAGAAAUUAAAAGGCUGAUUUAUAUCCAAUUUCAUGCAAGUGAUGGCUUGAUGAGUCUUUUCUAGUAUUCUUUCAAAUCUAUAAGCUAAAACUAGGUUUUUGCAGUAUCUGUGUAGUCUUGGUUGUUUCAUAUCAACUUUCUGAUAUUUAUGACUUUUCCAUUUUCAGGUAAAUGACUGAAACUUUCACCAAACCCUAAUCAUUUCGUGGAUUUUGAUUUUUAUGUGGAUUUGGAUUCCAUGAAUUUUUUGAGUGGAUAGGAAUUAUUGAUGUGAUGUACAUAUUAGUAGAAUGAGGUUUUUCCUCUAGGGUUGGAGAUCUGAAAUUGAGUACUGGUGGAACAAUUAAAGUUGGUAAAGGACUUACUGGGGCGGUGCACUAUCAAUUUGAAAAUCCAAACUUUUAAAGAAAAAGCUAAGUGUACAACGUUGAUUGACAAUUAUGUGUUGUCAAAAUUCAAAUGUUAUGUAAAAAAUAUUUUUUUAAAAUUGAUGAAUAUGAUGAUGAUAAAUAGGAUGGUGUCAACUAAUGUUGUGCAUAUAGCAUGAUUAUUUAAAAAAUGAUAUUGUAAUCUUAUCGAUGAAAUGUCUCUCUCCAAUGUUAAUCAAGUCAUAGUUAACCUACAACUCACAUAGGUAUCCUCUUUUUUUUUUUUUUUAAUCGAGGAGAUGGAAAAAAAUGAAAAAGGCAACUUGCAACACCAGUAACUGUCCUGGUACAAGGGGAAUAACUCAAAUUUGAUAUCCAUGUUCUCUAAUUAAUAAUCAUAUCAAAUACUAUUGACAUCGAAUUUUGUACCUCCAAUGGCCAACGGAUCCUAAAGCCCCUCAUGUCCACACAAGUCUAAUUCCUACACAUUUGGACAAAUCAUUAGCUGUUGGCUUCCUCCGGUCGGAAAGUUGGCCCUCCGCACUCCAACAAUCAAGUUAGUUGGAGAAGUAAAUAUAUAAGUAUAGAAGAUCUUUAGAUUGAGCCUCUAAUAUAAAAAAAAGAGGUCGAUUUUGGAGAGUAAUAGAUAAAACAGUGAUAUAGUGAAGUUAUAGCUUGAGGAUCUAAACUUGCAUUAUCUAGAAAUGACACUAAGUCUGAGCUUUUAUAAUGUAAAAAGAUGAAUAAAAGUCGUUGGAUGAAAAGACACGUGACCUCAUCCGUGAGGCUGGUGCUUGUCAAAAGACAUCAAUCAAUUACAAACAUAAAUGCUAAUACCAUUUUAGCUCCCGUUUGGCCCUCAUUAAAUUUUAUUAUAUUACAUUUCAUUUUUCCCUUUUCU